Molecule: ribosomal RNA, 425 nt
Filed under: uncultured bacterium
Lineage: Bacteria
Description: partial 16S ribosomal RNA
Rfam family: Bacterial small subunit ribosomal RNA
Source: RNAcentral
GUGGGGAAUAUUGGACAAUGGGCGCAAGCCUGAUCCAGCCAUGCCGCGUGAGUGAUGAAGGCCCUAGGGUUGUAAAGCUCUUUCACCGGUGAAGAUAAUGACGGUAACCGGAGAAGAAGCCCCGGCUAACUUCGUGCCAGCAGCCGCGGUAAUACGAAGGGGGCUAGCGUUGUUCGGAAUUACUGGGCGUAAAGCGCACGUAGGCGGAUAUUUAAGUUAGGGGUGAAAUCCCAGGGCUCAACCCUGGAACUGCCUCUAAUACUGGGUAUCUCGAGUCCGAGAGAGGUGGGUGGAAUUCCGAGUGUAGAGGUGAAAUUCGGAGAUAUUCGGAGGAACACCAGUGGCGAAGGCGGCUCACUGGCUCGGUACUGACGCUGAGGUGCGAAAGCGUGGGGAGCAAACAGGAUUAGAAACCCUAGUAGUCC